CCUACGGGAGGCAGCAGUGGGGAAUAUUGCGCAAUGGGCGAAAGCCUGACGCAGCGACGCCGCGUGAGGGAUGAAGGUCUUCGGAUCGUAAACCUCUGUCAGCAGGGAAGUAAGGUCACUGUGGUAAUCAGCAGUGAAUUGAUGGUACCUGCAAAGGAAGCACCGGCUUACUCCGUGCCAGCAGCCGUGGUACUACGGAGGGUGCGAGCGUUAAUCGGAAUUACUGGGCGUAAAGCGAUCGUAGGCGGUAUGUUAAGUCAAGGGUGAAAUCCCCGCGCUCAACGUGGGAACUGCCGUUGAAACUGGAGGAGUGGAGUGUGUGAGAGGAGAGUGGAAUUCCAGGUGUAGGAGUGAAAGGCGUAGAUAUCAUGAGGAACAUCAGUGGCGAAGGCGAGUAUCUGGCACAUAACUGACGCUGAGGAGCGAAAGCGUGGGUAGCAAACAGGAUUAGAUACCCUGGUAGUC
This 465-nucleotide ribosomal RNA is filed under the name uncultured bacterium. RNAcentral's name for it is "partial 16S ribosomal RNA". It matches the Rfam family "Bacterial small subunit ribosomal RNA", at positions 338 to 795 of the family's 1533-position model. The record is from RNAcentral.